CUGACACUCACAGUGACAGUAUGACCAUCCAGUUAUAAUGACAAGGAAACCUAGCAUAAUCCUCUUUGUACUUCAUGUCUAUGGUGAAGGUAAGUUACACUUUGUACACAGUUCAUUGCAGAUAAUAUAUAUUGUUUACUAUAGACUUUUAUUUCUAUGGUGUUUUUUUUUUUUUUUGUCUUAAACUGCAACCCUUUUGUAGAUGACCUAACCCCUUGUCAUGGAAGAGAUAAUGAAGAGUGGAAUCCUGGUGACUUAAAUUUUUUCCCACUCUAUAAAACAAUCUGAUUCCUACAUAUAAUCUUUGUAAUCAGAUUUGUUUUCUACUAUUUUUAGACGUGUUUUGCUUCAAAAUUUGAAACAUAUAUUUCUGUCUGUUGUUGAAAUAAUUGGUCAUUUUAUUAAUGCAUGUUUAAAGUUUAUUUUUGUUACAUUUGAAAAGAAAACUGGACAACAGAAAGCAAGAGUGCUAAAUUUAGAGUGAUUACCGCAGAGAUCAGUGGGGUGUUCUUGGUGAUAAUUAAUUAAUGUAAACGUUCCAUUAUGAAUAUAAACUAUUAGUCUUUACACUCUUUUCAUGGGACAUUGCACCAGUUUCACUCCUGAGUGUAUGAUUAAUGGAUAAAGACUUAGCAGUCUGCAAACAGGGUAUUUACCCAGGAGAACUCAGCAACUGGACAUGGUAGGAGCCUUCUACAUUUACAUUUUGCCAUAGAAAUAGUAAAUGCUGUUUUUCUCUCUAAGAGCAUAAGACCGGUAAUGAAUUAGCCUGACAUAUAAAACAGGCAGCAGGCAUAAACACAGCAUAAAACUCUCUCUGAAAUUAUGUUUUUAGCUUAUUAUGUGUUUAGCUUAUUAUGUGUUUAGCUUAUUCUUCUGUUGAGUUCACCCAAGAUAUAACUUUACUCAUGUGUUAAAGAAGGUGAAGGUAGGUUACCAUUAAGACUGUCCACCUACCGACACUUCUUUUUCAGCAUAAAAUUAUCUAUGGUUCUGGCCCUGUUUUUUAUCGGUUGUCUAUCUAUGUGAUCACCCAUAUUUUGUGGUUUAUCCUUUUGUUGGUGAAGAAGAUAGCUAAAUUGUGGAUGUAUUACGCCUAUUUUUACAAAGUGUCUGUUAGCAAAUGUAAUGCUGUGGAUAUCACAUUAAUGUCUGAUACUUUAGAAUCUGUAAAAUAUCUAUGAAGAACUUCAUCCACCAAAUGAAUUCACAGAUCGAGUCAUUCUCGAUCUGUCCGAGCUAUCUCGAAGGUGAAGCUGAGGAUGUUCUCACCUUAGUAGUUGAAAUUUCGUGUUUUAGCCAUUACAUGGCCAUAAUAUGCUGAGCUUGACUUCUGUUAAAACCCUACAUUGGCAAGUCCUAACCUCACUAAUAUCGCAGAUCACUGUCCUAUUUGGACAUAAGCCCUUCAUCCCUUUACACUGUGGUACUUGAUGCAAAAAUAUUUUCAGGAUGUGAAACCCCAUUGUAUAUUUAAUGUAAACAGAUAUGCAAAAUAAAGAUAAUAAAUGCAAUUAAGUUUUUGUAAGAUUUCUUUUGCAUGUCUCUCUUUAACAUCAGUUUUAUUCUUACAAAUGUCUUUUUUUUUUUUACAGUAUUUUCUUGUGAUGCUCUAAAUGUAACUCAGUCUCCAAAGCGUUUAGUGUUACUGGAAGGAGAGAGCGCUGUUAUAAAUUGUACCUGGGAUCCCGACCAUACAGCGAAGCAGAUCAGAGUGGAAUGGAGAAUAUUUAGCAUUUCAUCAAUGAAAGUGGAAAAUAAAACACUUUUAGCAUCUGUUCUAUGGAAAGGAAAUGAUACAUGCAACGUUACACAAAGGAAUCACAAUGGGAGUACUUAUUAUGUAUCUAACGGUAAAGCAGAGCUACGGAUUGACUCUGUCACAGUGAGAGAUGAAGGAAUUUACUUCUGUGAGAUCAAUACUGAAAUACCAAAACUUCAGCAUGGAAGAGGAAAUGGCAC
This 1962-nucleotide long non-coding RNA is filed under the name Pelobates cultripes (western spadefoot toad). The record is from RNAcentral. Lineage: Eukaryota; Metazoa; Chordata; Amphibia; Anura; Pelobatidae.